CGCUCAGCACAGCCGUCUAUCGUUUGUGCGAAAGAAGGAUCUUUCGGAUGGCGUGUCCUGCCUCGAUCCCCUUGUCAACGAUGAGGUCACCGAGGCC
Molecule: non-coding RNA, 97 nt
Filed under: Palpitomonas bilix
Lineage: Eukaryota
Source: RNAcentral